UGAAAGCGAUGAAGCGUGAGGUUGCCGUCUUUAUAUAUUUGCCGUAUGAGACGGGUUUUCCGCGGAGCAAAUGUCAUGUUCACGAAACUGGCGACAA
This 97-nucleotide non-coding RNA is filed under the name uncultured Eubacterium sp. RNAcentral's name for it is "S10-Clostridia ribosomal protein leader". It matches the Rfam family "S10-Clostridia ribosomal protein leader". Lineage: Bacteria; Bacillati; Bacillota; Clostridia; Eubacteriales; Eubacteriaceae. The record is from RNAcentral.